CAGUCGCCACGGUAAUACGAAGGGUGCAAGCGUUAAUCGGAAUUACUGGGCGUAAAGCGUGCGCAGGCGGUUGUGUAAGACAGGUGUGAAAUCCCCGGGCUUAACCUGGGAACUGCGCUUGUGACUGCACAGCUAGAGUAUGGCAGAGGGGGGUGGAAUUCCACGUGUAGCAGUGAAAUGCGUAGAGAUGUGGAGGAACACCGAUGGCGAAGGCAGCCCCCUGGGCCAAUACUGACGCUCAUGCACGAAAGCGUGGGGAGCAAACAGGAUUAGAUACCCCCGUAGUCCCUGUCUCUUAUAC
RNAcentral lists this ribosomal RNA (301 nucleotides) under uncultured bacterium. RNAcentral's name for it is "partial 16S ribosomal RNA". It matches the Rfam family "Bacterial small subunit ribosomal RNA", at positions 509 to 807 of the family's 1533-position model. The record is from RNAcentral.